UUUAGUUAGCUUCUCUUUAUAUGAGAAUUCAAAAUUUCAAAAUUAGUGACACAUCAAAUUAUGCAACUUGCUGCGAUUUCAUUGAUCCAAAAAAAUAUUUUUAGUUUUCAUUUAUUGCUAUUCUUAUCCAAUUAUGAAUAUUUUUCUAAAGCUAAAUAAACUAAUCUCACCCUUUAUCGCACCAUAUCGGUGUAGCCUACCCACACCGAAUAAGUGACCUCAAUAUUCCCUCAACCAAGUGGACCCACCCGUUAACAAUACACGACAACGACCCAUAACAAUAAUAUACACACGAAAAGGGAGAAGAAAACAGGAGGGAGGAACUUCCAUGAAUGCACCAUGAGCUUCUCCACAAAACGAUUCCAUUAACAAUAGCAUACUGUACCCAUUCUUAACAAUUUCAACAAUUAACAACCAUAACUGACAACAAUCAGCAACAUCACUCCUUUCGACUCCAAUUUUCUCAUCAGAAAACACCAUUGAAACCACCCUCCACCAUUGAUUUUUCAGUGAACAAUGACCAAUAUCGUCUCCUCUUUUGAACCAGUUCUGGAUCCUACCAGAACACUUCCUCCACCUAUUUCUUCAUUGGAAAAAUCCACCCUCACCUUCAUCCCUCGAACUCCGACUACGGCCGCUCCAAAAUGGGUCGUUUUGUUAUCAAACAGGUCGUUUGAACUUGGUUUUGUUCGGGUUGGUUAUUUUGAUUUGAGGUGGCUUAGAGAGAUGGUAAGACCCAAUUUGGCAAAGAGAGAAGGAGAAGAGUUUGAACAAAAAAUUUAUGCGGUGGAAAUUCGACGGGAAGAUACGUCUUAUGAAAAUUAGGUGAUAUGUCCGUAGUGUGUCUUUUGUGUACCUUAUGUUUUGGUUUGCUUGGUCGGCCUAUGAUACCUAUUGAGUACAAGUGGACCGUACUCACUCCUACUAUAUCCUUCUAGUGCAGAUUCAAGUUUGAGUACACCCUACAUUGCUGUUUAACUCAGGCGAUUAUUGGAGCUUUCAAGGUAGUUGAUGAUUUUCAGGCAUCCGGAUGUCUACUGCUACCUUUCUUUAUAGACUAUGUCUUGAUUUCAUUUCAGAGAUAGAUUUUCUCUUGUAUUUAGAUAUCUUAUGUAUUUCCUUGGAUUCGAGUUGUACUAGAUAUAUUCUUAUACUGUUGACACCUAGUUUUGAGAGUUAUGGCUGCAUUGUUAUGUUCUUUUUACAU
Molecule: long non-coding RNA, 1207 nt
Organism: Capsicum annuum
Lineage: Eukaryota; Viridiplantae; Streptophyta; Magnoliopsida; Solanales; Solanaceae
Exons: 2
Source: RefSeq, a predicted model, not a curated record